AUACCUUUCUCAGCCUUUUGGCUAAGAUCAAGUGUAGUAUCAUAUCGGUUUAAUAUCUGAUAUGUGGGGCAUCACCCUUGCGUUGCACUACUGCAU
Non-coding RNA from Thalictrum thalictroides, 96 nucleotides. Lineage: Eukaryota; Viridiplantae; Streptophyta; Magnoliopsida; Ranunculales; Ranunculaceae. The record is from the annotation of a GenBank genome assembly.